UAGAUGUCUUUCACAUCCAACCGAUGAACCUAUUAUAAUUUAAAUAAUUUAAAAAUGGCAGUUCCAAAAAGCGCACCUCGAGUUCAAAAAACGUAUUCGUAAAAAUAUUUGGAAAAGGAAAGGGUAUUGGGCAGCAUUGAAAGCUUUUUCGUUAGCGAAAUCGCUUUCUACCGGUAACUCAAAAAGUUUUUUUGUGUGACAAAUAAAUAAUCAAACAAUAGACUAAAUAAUGUGAAUCGGUCUAAUUUUUGUUAGAAUGUAUUUCUAAGG
RNAcentral lists this long non-coding RNA (270 nucleotides) under Fragaria vesca (wild strawberry). RNAcentral's name for it is "long non-coding RNA (FVES_LNC005242)". Lineage: Eukaryota; Viridiplantae; Streptophyta; Magnoliopsida; Rosales; Rosaceae. The record is from RNAcentral.